CAGUCGCCACGGUAAUACGAAGGGUGCAAGCGUUACUCGGAAUUACUGGGCGUAAAGCGUGCGUAGGUGGUGGUUUAAGUCCGUUGUGAAAGCCCUGGGCUCAACCUGGGAAUUGCAGUGGAUACUGGGUCACUGGAGUGUGGUAGAGGAUAGUGGAAUUUCCGGUGUAGCAGUGAAAUGCGUAGAGAUCGGAAGGAACAUCUGUGGCGAAGGCGACUAUCUGGGCCAACACUGACACUGAGGCACGAAAGCGUGGGGAGCAAACAGGAUUAGAUACCCGUGUAGUCCCUGUCUCUUAUAA
This 301-nucleotide ribosomal RNA is filed under the name uncultured bacterium. Its description in RNAcentral is "partial 16S ribosomal RNA". It matches the Rfam family "Bacterial small subunit ribosomal RNA", at positions 509 to 809 of the family's 1533-position model. The record is from RNAcentral.